AACGAACGCUGGCGGCGUGCCUAACACAUGCAAGUCGAACGCGAAAGGGGGCAACCCCCGGUAGCGUGGCAGACGGGUGAGUAACACGUGGGUAACCUACCCGGAGGUGGGGGAUAACCCUUCGAAAGGAGGGCUAAUACCGCAUAAUACCGUGGGGACCUCGGUCCUUGCGAUCAAAGCUGGCCUCUGUUUACAAGCUAGCGCCACCGGAUGGGCCCGCGCCCCAUUAGCUAGUUGGUGAGGUAACGGCUCACCAAGGCGACGAUGGGUAGCCGGCCUGAGAGGGCGAUCGGCCACACUGGAACUGCGACACGGUCCAGACUCCUACGGGAGGCAGCAGUGAGGAAUCUUGCGCAAUGGGCGAAAGCCUGACGCAGCGACGCCGCGUGGAGGAUGAAGGUCUUCGGAUUGUAAACUCCUGUCGAGUGGGACGAAUGCCGUGAGGGUGAAUACCCCUUGCGGUU
RNAcentral lists this ribosomal RNA (464 nucleotides) under uncultured Acidobacteriota bacterium. RNAcentral's name for it is "bacterial SSU rRNA". It matches the Rfam family "Bacterial small subunit ribosomal RNA", at positions 28 to 477 of the family's 1533-position model. Lineage: Bacteria; Pseudomonadati; Acidobacteriota. The record is from RNAcentral.